This 441-nucleotide ribosomal RNA is filed under the name uncultured bacterium. Its description in RNAcentral is "partial 16S ribosomal RNA". It matches the Rfam family "Bacterial small subunit ribosomal RNA", at positions 338 to 795 of the family's 1533-position model. The record is from RNAcentral.
CCUACGGGGGGCAGCAGUGGGGGAUAUUGCACAAUGGGGGGAACCCUGAUGCAGCGACGCCGCGUGGGUGAAGGAGUGCUUCGGCAUGUAAAGCCCUAUCGGCAGGGAAGAAGCAAGACGGUACCUGACUAAGAAGCCCCGGCUAACUACGUGCCAGCAGCCGCGGUAAUACGUAGGGGUCGAGCGUUAUCCGGAUUCACUGGGUGUAAAGGGAGCGUAGACGGCCAUGCAAGCCAGGGGUGAAAGCCCGGGGCCCAACCCCGGGACUGCGCUUGGAACUGGGCGGCUAGAGUGCGGGAGGGGCAGGCGGAAUUCCUGGUGUAGCGGUGAAAUGCGUAGAUAUCAGGAGGAACACCGGCGGCGAAGGCGGCCUGCUGGACCGCGACUGACGUUGAGGCUCGAAAGCGUGGGGAGCGAACAGGAUUAGAUACCCCAGUAGUC